Molecule: ribosomal RNA, 467 nt
Filed under: uncultured bacterium
Lineage: Bacteria
Description: partial 16S ribosomal RNA
Rfam family: Bacterial small subunit ribosomal RNA
Source: RNAcentral
GACGAACGCUGGCGGUGUGCUUAACACAUGCAAGUCGAACGGAAAGGCCCUGCGUUUGUGGGGUGCUCGAGUGGCGAACGCGUGAGUAACACGUGAGUAACCUGCUCUUCUCUUUCGGAUAACUUCAGGAAACUGGGGUUACUAUCGGAUAGGAGCCCCUGCUCCAGGGUGGGGGUUGGAUCGUUUCGGCGUUUGGGGUUGGAGUCGCAGCUUAUCAGCUUGCUGGUGGGGUAGUGGCUUACCAAGGCUUUGACGGGUAGCCGGCCUGGGAGGGUGACCGGGCCCAUUGGGACUGGGAUGCGGCCCAGACGCCUACGGGGGGCAGCGGUGGGAGCUAUUGCACACUGGGCGGAGGCCGGGAGCAGCGACGCCGCGUGGGGGAUGACGGCCUUCGGGUAGUAAACGGCUUUCGCCUGUGACGAGGCGUGAGGGAGGGUAAUAAGUAAAGAAGCACCGGCUAACUACGU